GCAUGCCCGGCCGAGUGGUUAGUGAGUCGUUUGUUGAGUGAGAGGUCACCGGUUCGAUCCCUGUUGCGCGCA
RNAcentral lists this transfer RNA (72 nucleotides) under Helianthus annuus (common sunflower). RNAcentral describes it as "tRNA HanXRQr2_Chr07g0307481". The record is from RNAcentral. Lineage: Eukaryota; Viridiplantae; Streptophyta; Magnoliopsida; Asterales; Asteraceae.